This 2794-nucleotide long non-coding RNA is filed under the name Heterocephalus glaber (naked mole-rat). RNAcentral describes it as "lncRNA (ENSHGLG00100035940.1)". Lineage: Eukaryota; Metazoa; Chordata; Mammalia; Rodentia; Bathyergidae. The record is from RNAcentral.
CCAUUCUGCUUCUUUUGGACUUCACUGGGUGUGACUAGAGUAGAAAAAGGACUUGGACACUCAGCAAUUGGAAUUUUGGAAGAUUUCUUAGAAGAAAGAAUCCUUCAUGGGAUUUGAAAGGAGCCAGUCAGGAAUGACAAGUUCCAAAGUUAUUUCUUAAAACCAUAACCUCAAGUUAUGAGCAUUUGGGUCUUAUUUGGUAGGAUGAGGGUGGGAAGAUGCAGCCUAUCUGUAGUUUCAUUCCUGUCACAGGCUUGCAUGUGUGUGUAGCUAUUUCCCCUGCAAAGGAAGCAAAGGAAGCAGGAGCAGUGUCUUGAUACCCUCUGGGACAAGCUCCACCCAUGGACAAACAGCCACAGCAGAGGAGGAAGAACCUAAGGGACUACUACUCACCUGAAAUAAGGGAGUAGGGGGAUUGAACUAAGGAUCUUGUGCUUGCCAGGCAGGUGCAGUGCCACAGAGCUACAUCCCCACCACAAAAUCUGUUUUUGGAGAAUGAGCAGCCUGAGUGUGGAUGGACAUUCUGACAAGCAGCACAAGGAAGAUCAUGACAGAGUUAUUUCUCUCCCUCAUUCUAACAAACAAAAAUGUCCCUAAACAAAUAUUGUGCUUGCUUAUUUCUGUUUUUUAAAAUGUUUUAUGUAUCAAUAACUUUUUAAAAAUAUUCUUUACAUUUCUGAAACUAAAUUUUCUGUUUUUCUAGUUCAGCUGGAAGUCUUAUUUACUAUUCCAGACUAGAAAUGGUCUGUAUUUGGGUACAGAGUGCCGUGUAGUCAUGGCAGUGCCAGAAGUGGCCUUAGUUAAGAUAGAACCUGAUGUAUCAUUAUUUACACAACAAAUGAUGUCUGCCUCCAACAGAGAGUGAGGUGUUUUAUGACCACAGGCUUUAUGAGUUGUAGCUAUAAAAUAAUCAGUCUUUUGAAGCAAACAUACCACAAUGUCUGUAUCUAAAAGGAAACUGUCCUUUAGGGCUGUGACCUUGGGAAACUUUGCACACAUGCUGACCUAUAAAAUAUAUUUAAAUUAUUCACAGGAAACAUCUUGCAGUCGCUCAGCAUUCCCGCUCUGUCCCUCUCCUCUUCUUUCCCCACUUCCUUUCUCUCAGCCUCUCUCCCUUUCCCUUUCUCCUUUCUUCUUUUUUCUUUCACACAAUUUUAUGAUGCACUUCAUUCUCAACUAAAAGUAUUUUCUCUGUCUUGAUAACCAAGACCAUGUUCUAGAUAAUCUGGCUGUGAAUGCCUUUGGCUGUCAGAAAAUUCCAUCCCUGAAAUGACAGUGUGGAGUUGGUACAUGAACAUAACACAUCUGAGUUCCUUUUUUUCAUCCCUUAUCCCUUUCCUCCUUUCCCUGCCUCUGUCUCUUGAUACCCUUCCCCUUCGGAAAAGCUCUCCCUACUUCUAACUUGUUCUUUAUUUUGUCUCUGGGUUUCUCAUGUGAGAGAAACAAUGUGAUAUUUAAUGUUGUGUGUCUGAUUUAUUUUACUUAACAUUAUAGUGUCAAGGUGGAUUCAUUUCUUACUGCAAACAUGUACAAAAGAAAAAAGGAAGAGAAUCAAGAGAUGGGUGGAGGGAGAGGGAAGGAAGGGACAGGGGAUGAAAAAAGGAAUUAAGAUGUGUGAUGUACAUGCACUAACUCCACACAAGGAAUGCAAACAUUAUGUGCUACACACACAAAAUAAAAAGACAAACAAAAAAACAUUGUUACCACUGAAGAAGUUAAAGAAACUAAAGGCCUGCUGACCCUGACCACUGUACUCAAAGAAGAACUGCAAAGAUAGUUGGAAAUUGCCAGCAUCCUUAGAAUAAAUAAUGACCUUCCAGGAUGCUAUUUUUAAGGACACUGAAACAUCUAAUUAUUAAGAUAUUUAUAAAAUGAAAGUUAACCAAAUCUACUUCAUGUCCCAAUUUGUUUCUAACACUGCUCAUGUUACCUACCACUUCAUUUUGAAGUUAUGGUCACUACCUUCUUCUGUUCGUUUUGCUAAACACUGGUCAACCAGUCAAAAGCAGCCACACUCAAAAGUAAGGAUGAUACAUGAUAAAUACUGUGUGGGUGAAAGUAUGCAGAAGCACUCAUUUUUAUGCAAUAUGGAGGCAAUGUAAAUUGGACACUUUAGAGGAUAAGUUGGGAGUAUAAAAAUUGAAACUGCACUUUUCUUUUAUUCUACAAUAUGGUUUGAGUUCUUUUUUUUAUAGACAUGCUUACAAACUUUCAUAAACAUAUAUGCCCAUUUAAUUGCAGCAUUGUGAUAGGAAAAUACUAAAAACAAAGUAAAUGUUCAGCAGGGAAAUAGUUAAAUAAAUUAUGGCUUAUCUGAAAAACUAAAUAUACAACAUUUGAAAUGCAAAAUAGUGUAUAUAUAUACACACACAUCUGCAAAUAUCUGUAAAACUUAUUGUUAAAUUAAAAGUCCAUGUUAAAAAAUAUAUUUCUCUUUUAAAAGCACACACAAAAUUUUUUUUAAAAGGCCAUGUUUCUGUGUGCUCACUUAUACUAAAUAUGUGGAAAGUCACAUAAGAAAAUAUGAUAGUAUUUAUCUUUAGAGAAUGAAGAGAGAUUUAUUAUAAAAUCUUAUUGUAACUCUCUUGUAGGCUUUUAUCAUGUGGAUCUAUUUUUUCAAAAAUAAUAAAAAUUUAAAAAGUAAAAUAUAAAAUGGGCCAAUGUAUUGACUGAAGUAUGUUGGAGACCAAGCUUUGGUCUUCCUUUGUAAGAGGUCAGUGGAGCACUGAAUCUUGCUCUUUGGGUGUGCUUGAAUCAGGACAGUGAGGGAAUGAGUAUGGGGACUGUUGAGAAC